AUAUCAUUAAGCGGAGGAAAAGAAACUAACAAGGAUUCCCCUAGUAACGGCGAGUGAAGCGGGAAGAGCUCAACUUGAAAAUCGGUGCGGCCCCGCCGCAUUGAAUUGUAGUCUAUAGAAGCUGUUGUCAGUCAAGCUCUCGGGAGAAGUCUCGUUGGAACAGGGCAUCAUAGAGGGUGACAAUCCCGUCUGUGCCUCAGUGCAUGCUAUUAUGUGAUACGUUUUCAAAGAGUCGAGUUGUUUGGGAAUUGCAAGC
This 256-nucleotide ribosomal RNA is filed under the name uncultured eukaryote. Its description in RNAcentral is "partial large subunit ribosomal RNA". It matches the Rfam family "Eukaryotic large subunit ribosomal RNA", at positions 40 to 286 of the family's 3401-position model. The record is from RNAcentral.